This 1828-nucleotide ribosomal RNA is filed under the name Staphylococcus aureus. RNAcentral's name for it is "partial 23S ribosomal RNA". It matches the Rfam family "Bacterial large subunit ribosomal RNA", at positions 364 to 2196 of the family's 2925-position model. Lineage: Bacteria; Bacillati; Bacillota; Bacilli; Caryophanales; Staphylococcaceae. The record is from RNAcentral.
GUAAUAAUCCUGUAGUCGAAAAUGUUGUCUCUCUUGAGUGGAUCCUGAGUACGACGGAGCACGUGAAAUUCCGUCGGAAUCUGGGAGGACCAUCUCCUAAGGCUAAAUACUCUCUAGUGACCGAUAGUGAACCAGUACCGUGAGGGAAAGGUGAAAAGCACCCCGGAAGGGGAGUGAAAUAGAACCUGAAACCGUGUGCUUACAAGUAGUCAGAGCCCGUUAAUGGGUGAUGGCGUGCCUUUUGUAGAAUGAACCGGCGAGUUACGAUUUGAUGCAAGGUUAAGCAGUAAAUGUGGAGCCGUAGCGAAAGCGAGUCUGAAUAGGGCGUUUAGUAUUUGGUCGUAGACCCGAAACCAGGUGAUCUACCCUUGGUCAGGUUGAAGUUCAGGUAACACUGAAUGGAGGACCGAACCGACUUACGUUGAAAAGUGAGCGGAUGAACUGAGGGUAGCGGAGAAAUUCCAAUCGAACCUGGAGAUAGCUGGUUCUCUCCGAAAUAGCUUUAGGGCUAGCCUCAAGUGAUGAUUAUUGGAGGUAGAGCACUGUUUGGACGAGGGGCCCCUCUCGGGUUACCGAAUUCAGACAAACUCCGAAUGCCAAUUAAUUUAACUUGGGAGUCAGAACAUGGGUGAUAAGGUCCGUGUUCGAAAGGGAAACAGCCCAGACCACCAGCUAAGGUCCCAAAAUAUAUGUUAAGUGGAAAAGGAUGUGGCGUUGCCCAGACAACUAGGAUGUUGGCUUAGAAGCAGCCAUCAUUUAAAGAGUGCGUAAUAGCUCACUAGUCGAGUGACACUGCGCCGAAAAUGUACCGGGGCUAAACAUAUUACCGAAGCUGUGGAUUGUCCUUUGGACAAUGGUAGGAGAGCGUUCUAAGGGCGUUGAAGCAUGAUCGUAAGGACAUGUGGAGCGCUUAGAAGUGAGAAUGCCGGUGUGAGUAGCGAAAGACGGGUGAGAAUCCCGUCCACCGAUUGACUAAGGUUUCCAGAGGAAGGCUCGUCCGCUCUGGGUUAGUCGGGUCCUAAGCUGAGGCCGACAGGCGUAGGCGAUGGAUAACAGGUUGAUAUUCCUGUACCACCUAUAAUCGUUUUAAUCGAUGGGGGGACGCAGUAGGAUAGGCGAAGCGUGCGAUUGGAUUGCACGUCUAAGCAGUAAGGCUGAGUAUUAGGCAAAUCCGGUACUCGUUAAGGCUGAGCUGUGAUGGGGAGAAGACAUUGUGUCUUCGAGUCGUUGAUUUCACACUGCCGAGAAAAGCCUCUAGAUAGAAAAUAGGUGCCCGUACCGCAAACCGACACAGGUAGUCAAGAUGAGAAUUCUAAGGUGAGCGAGCGAACUCUCGUUAAGGAACUCGGCAAAAUGACCCCGUAACUUCGGGAGAAGGGGUGCUCUUUAGGGUUAACGCCCAGAAGAGCCGCAGUGAAUAGGCCCAAGCGACUGUUUAUCAAAAACACAGGUCUCUGCUAAACCGUAAGGUGAUGUAUAGGGGCUGACGCCUGCCCGGUGCUGGAAGGUUAAGAGGAGUGGUUAGCUUCUGCGAAGCUACGAAUCGAAGCCCCAGUAAACGGCGGCCGUAACUAUAACGGUCCUAAGGUAGCGAAAUUCCUUGUCGGGUAAGUUCCGACCCGCACGAAAGGCGUAACGAUUUGGGCACUGUCUCAACGAGAGACUCGGUGAAAUCAUAGUACCUGUGAAGAUGCAGGUUACCCGCGACAGGACGGAAAGACCCCGUGGAGCUUUACUGUAGCCUGAUAUUGAAAUUCGGCACAGCUUGUACAGGAUAGGUAGGAGCCUUUGAAACGUGAGCGCUAGCUUACGUGGAGGCGCUGGUGGG